UGGAUCCAGACUUUGAUCCUGGCUCAGGACGAACGCUGGCGGCGUGCCUAACACAUGCAAGUCGAGCGGGGAUCGCCAGAGGAAGCCUUCGGGUGGAAUUGGGUGAUUCUAGCGGCGGACGGGUGAGUAACGCGUGAGCAAUCUGCCUUUCACAGGGGGAUAACACACCGAAAGGUGUACUAAUACCGCAUGAGACCACAGUGGGGACAUCCCAUAGGGGUCAAAGGAGAAAUCCGGUGAAAGAUGAGCUCGCGUCUGAUUAGCUGGUUGGUGAGGUAACGGCCCACCAAGGCGACGAUCAGUAGCCGACCUGAGAGGGUGAUCGGCCACAUUGGAACUGAGAGACGGUCCAAACUCCUACGGGAGGCAGCAGUGGGGAAUAUUGGGCAAUGGGGGAAACCCUGACCCAGCGACGCCGCGUGAAGGAAGAAGGUUUUCGGAUCGUAAACUUCUAUCCUUGGUGAAAAUGAUGAUGGUAGCCAAGAAGGAAGCCCCGGCUAACUACGUGCCAGCAGCCGCGGUAAUACGUAGGGGGCAAGCGUUGUCCGGAAUGAUUGGGCGUAAAGGGCGCGUAGGCGGCCUUUUAAGUCUGAAGUGAAAGUCCUGCUUUUAAGGUGGGAACUGCUUUGGAUACUGGAAGGCUUGAGUGCAGGAGAGGUAAGCGGAAUUCCCGGUGUAGCGGUGAAAUGCGUAGAGAUCGGGAGGAACACCAGUGGCGAAGGCGGCUUACUGGACUGUUACUGACGCUGAGGCGCGAAAGUGUGGGGAGCAAACAGGAUUAGAUACCCUGGUAGUCCACACUGUAAACGAUGAAUGCUAGGUGUAGGGGGUAUCGACCCCUUCUGUGCCGGAGUCAACACAAUAAGCAUUCCGCCUGGGGAGUACGGCCGCAAGGUUGCAACUCAAA
This 907-nucleotide ribosomal RNA is filed under the name uncultured Bacillota bacterium. Its description in RNAcentral is "bacterial SSU rRNA". It matches the Rfam family "Bacterial small subunit ribosomal RNA", at positions 1 to 905 of the family's 1533-position model. The record is from RNAcentral. Lineage: Bacteria; Bacillati; Bacillota.